AGGGGGAUGUUCGCUGCUACUUGCAUCAUUGAUACAGAUGAUGCAAGAUCCACUAUGUCGAAUAAAAUUCUAGGUAGAAUUAUGAUAAUGACAUUGUCUGCCUAUGUGUCUUGACCAAAUUACGUGCCAGCAGUCGCGGUAAUACGUAGAAGACUAGUGUUAUUCAUGUUUAAUCGGUUUAAAGGGUACCUAGACGGUAGAUCAAGCUUUUACAUAUAAAUUAUGUUAAUUAAAGGACUAAUUUGCUAGAGUUACUUACGAGGGGGUAUUAAAGUACUGCUGGUGUAGAGAUGAAAUUCUGUCAUACCUCUUUUCGAAAGAAAAAUCAUGGCACAGGUAUAGGCGAAGGCAUCCCCUUAUGUGAUAACUGACGUUGAGGGACGAAGGCUUUGUGUAACAAACAGGAUUAGAUACCCUAGUAGUUGAAGCAGAAAAUGAUGAAUGUCAUAGAUUAGAUAUAUAAGUUUAUUCUAUAAAUGAAAGUGUAAGCAUUCCACCUCAGGAGUAAUUUGGCAACAUUGGAAUUGAAAUCAUUAGACCGUUUCUGAAACCAGUAGUGAAGUAUGUUGUUUAAUUUGAUGAUCCGCAAAAAACCUUACCACAAUUUGAAUAUUUAUAUUUUUUUUUUAUKGUUUNCUUCUWAAUUUUCUUCUAAUAACWUAUUCAACAUGUAAAAAGAAGAAAKUUAAUAAAGAGGCAAUAAUAUAUUUUUACAAGCGUUGCCCGGCUGACUUCAGUUAAUGACGCNAGACUUUGGUUAGUUCCAUUAAAUUAMCGAAAACCCUUACUUU
RNAcentral lists this ribosomal RNA (791 nucleotides) under Punctelia rudecta. RNAcentral describes it as "SSU rRNA". It matches the Rfam family "Bacterial small subunit ribosomal RNA", at positions 380 to 1112 of the family's 1533-position model. The record is from RNAcentral. Lineage: Eukaryota; Fungi; Ascomycota; Lecanoromycetes; Lecanorales; Parmeliaceae.